GCGCGGUGGCUCCUGCAGGGACGCGGCUGCCGCUGCCGCCCAAGGCCGGGGUUGGGGCCGUCGCCGCAACGUGUUGCACGCCGUAGUCUCGCAUGUGUCGUGCUCAUACCGGCUGUUCGCGGCCCGUGCCGCUCCUGGUCGCCCUGCUGCGGCGGCAGCUCCCAGCUCAGCAGGCUCCAGCUGUUCGCUCUAAAAUUUUAAAGGACCUCUGCGUUCCCGCAAUUCAUUCCGGUGCUGCUCUCGCCACCUCCCCACGACUGCUGCAAGCCCCUUCUUGAAUUGCUCUGUACGUUACUGCUGCUUGGUGCAGGCGGGCAUUUGGGUACUAAGCGCCAGCCACCCGCUGUAAUAAGAAGCAUCAACACAUCAUUCGCCUCCGGCUCCGAAUCUGGAGCGAUUGUAUUACUUCUGGAAGUGCAAGAAUCCUCUGCCGGCCUCGGUCCAGUGUAAGUUUAUUUGCGGCUUCCGCUGUUAUUUACAAGUCACCGGGUUUGUUCUCCAUUCCCUGGGAACCGAAGUUGCCAGGCCGGGCGGGCGCUGCCCGCAGCCAGCCCGCUGCAGCGCGCCGCCCGCCCCCGGGGAGGCCCGGCGGCGUGAGGCCGCCCGCCGCCGCCGCUUAUGCAACACAUCAUCGAUAACCACCCCGAUAUGGCCACCGCGCUGCUGGCGGGCGAGAAGCUGAAGGAGCUCAUCCUGCCGGGGCAGCAGGAUGACAAGGCGGGCGCGCUGGCGGCUCUGCUGCUCCAGCUGAAGCUGGAGCUGCCCUUCGACCGGGUGGUCACCAUCGGCACCGUCCUCAUCCCUAUCCUCCUCGUCACCCUCGUCUUCACCAAGAACUUCGCCGGACAAGUGGUUUCAGAGAGUGGGAAAAAAAGGCUAUACCUUACCUUGUUGAUCAUGGAGAAAUUUGUACCUUAGGAAGACUUCAUGGGCAUGGAACCUAUAUUCAGAUAUGGAAAGAAUAUUCCUUAAGAAAGGUAAAGGGAGAAGAGGAUCCAGGACAUUUCUUCUUUUCAGUUUAAAAAUCACUGAAAAACAACUAAAUAAAUUAUUCCUGUUUCUCAAAAUAAAGAGUUUCCUACCUGCUUUCUUGUGCAGUCCUGUUACUAUCCAAGAUGAGUGAGGCAUGUGUGUCUGAUUGCUUACACAUAUGUGACAC
Molecule: RNA transcript, 1159 nt
Organism: Dryobates pubescens (Downy woodpecker)
Lineage: Eukaryota; Metazoa; Chordata; Aves; Piciformes; Picidae
Gene: PANX2
Gene name: pannexin 2
Exons: 4
Source: RefSeq, a predicted model, not a curated record